UGGAAAAGGACCAAAUACACAAAAGAUUCCCUCUCAAGACCUGGUAAGGUCGGUACUAGAACCACUACUAAAAUAUACCCAGAGUACUAGACAGAAUCCAAAUAAUACCCAAUAUACACAAGUAGUCUAGUACAAAAGACUCAAUCGGAGUAGAUAGAGGAAGAUCAGCAUCGAACGAUGGUAAGCUCACCCUGCUACGAAUCAGUACUGGAAGGUAGGAAUCACAUCAAUGUCGGCUGCUACUAAUCAGAUCUGCAUAAGGAAAAAGAUGCAGAAGUGUAGUAUAAGUACCAAAGCAACGGGUACUCAAUAGGCAUCAUCGGUCGACUGAGCUCAAUACAGAAAUGGUAUAACUACAAUGCAGGGAUGUAAUCUAAGUCGACAGUAAAAAGGGACCAAAAGGUAAAUAACUGCCAAGCUACACCAAUGAGAUAGAGGAUUAAAUGUAAGCGAUACGGAAAAUAAAUAACCCAGUAAUUACAAACAAAUCAAACAUAACCUAACUGGGCCCUAUAAGCCUACUAGGCACACAACAUAACCUAACUAGACCCCCAUAAGAUCGCUAGGCACACUGAAGAAGACAAUUAACCCAACCAUACCCCAUAAGAUGGUGGGACACACAAAUAGCAAUUAAAGAAAAUAAAUAUAAAUAAUCUGUAACUGAGCCAAUCCCAAGAAAUCAUGAUAGUCAUCUAGAUGUGCACCGGACUUGAAAUCAUGAUAGUCCGGACUUGAAAUAAUCAACGUCUAAAUAAUCAUCCGCCAAUCUUAAUUAAAAAGGAAUAAAUUCAAUAUUUUGCAAUUUAGUUUAACGUCCUAAAGUAAUAGAUGUUGUAUUAUAUUAAAAGAUAAUAUUUCAAUAUUUACUAGAAUGGGGUCCUAAUCCGAAUAAAUAAGACAGUUUAUAUAAAUCAAAUAAAUACACAUCUGCAAGCACCUAUCCAAAGCUAGCAUAAUUGUUUACAAUUUCAGUAAAUAAGUUCAAUCUAAAGGUAGGAUAAAUCUAGCAUACCUGGAUGCCACAGCUAAAAAAAAUAUCUCUGAGAAUCCUCCAAAUAAUAUUCUACUAGAAACCGAGCUUGAAUAACUUGAUUUUGAAAAUUAAUUAUGCACGAAUAAACAUACCACGCGGCACAUACACGCCUUGGACCAGCCAUGAAUGAAAAAAUAAAGAGAUGGAGAAAAAAGAACACUUAAGGAUCAAUGAUCCUACCCCUUACGUACAACAACAACAUAUAUUAGAACUAUUUUUAUAGAGUGGAACCAAAGUUUUAUAUGAG
This 1280-nucleotide long non-coding RNA is filed under the name Capsicum annuum. RNAcentral describes it as "long non-coding RNA (CANN_LNC006322)". Lineage: Eukaryota; Viridiplantae; Streptophyta; Magnoliopsida; Solanales; Solanaceae. The record is from RNAcentral.